CGGUCGAUUUGAGGCACGCGGCGGACCGCGUUGCCCAAUACCAAGCGAGGCUUGAGUGGUGAAAUGACGCUCGAACAGGCAUGCCCCCCGGAAUACCAGGGGGCGCAAUGUGCGUUCAAAGAUUCGAUGAUUCACUGAAUUCUGCAAUUCACAUUACUUAUCGCAUUUCGCUGCGUUCUUCAUCGAUGCGUCGUUGAUAGG
RNAcentral lists this unclassified non-coding RNA (201 nucleotides) under uncultured fungus. RNAcentral describes it as "sequence contains ITS1". The record is from RNAcentral. Lineage: Eukaryota; Fungi.